Molecule: ribosomal RNA, 253 nt
Filed under: uncultured prokaryote
Description: partial 16S ribosomal RNA
Rfam family: Bacterial small subunit ribosomal RNA
Source: RNAcentral
ACGGGGGGAGCAAGCGUUGUUCGGAUUUACUGGGCGUAAAGGGCGCGUAGGCGGCGCGACAAGUCACUUGUGAAAUCUCCGGGCUUAACUCGGAGCGGCCAAGUGAUACUGUCGUGCUAGAGUGCGGAAGGGGCAACUGGAAUUCUCGGUGUAGCGGUGAAAUGCGUAGAUAUCGAGAGGAACACCGGUGGCGAAGGCGCUCAUCUGGCCCGAUACUGACGCUGAGGCGCGAAAGCUAGGGUAGCGAACGGGA